CCUACGGGAGGCAGCAGUGGGGAAUAUUGCACAAUGGGGGAAACCCUGAUGCAGCGACGCCGCGUGAGUGAAGAAGUAUUUCGGUAUGUACAGCUCUAUCAGCAGGGAAGAAAAUGACGGUACCUGACUAAUAAGCCCCGGCUAACUACGUGCCAGCAGCCGCGGUAAUACGUAGGGGGCAAGCGUUAUCCGGAUUUACUGGGUGUAAAGGGAGCGUAGACGGCCAGACAAGGCAGAAGUGAAAGCCCAGGGCUCAACCCUAGGACUGCUUUUGAAACUGCAGGGCUGGAGUGCAGGAGAGGUAAGCGGAAUCCCUCGUGUAGCGGUGACAUGCGUAGAUAUUAGGAGGAACACCAGUGGCGAAGGCGGCUUACUGGACUGUAACUGACGUUGAGGCUAGCAAGUGUGGGGAGCAACCAGGAUUAGAUACCCUUGUAGUC
RNAcentral lists this ribosomal RNA (440 nucleotides) under uncultured bacterium. RNAcentral describes it as "partial 16S ribosomal RNA". It matches the Rfam family "Bacterial small subunit ribosomal RNA", at positions 338 to 795 of the family's 1533-position model. The record is from RNAcentral.